Phoenix dactylifera (date palm) is the source of this 616-nucleotide non-coding RNA. NCBI's taxonomy places the organism in Eukaryota, Viridiplantae, Streptophyta, Magnoliopsida, Arecales, Arecaceae. The record is from RefSeq and is a predicted model, not a curated record.
CCUAAUCAAACCGGAUACGGGGAAUUGGGCCGGGUUGGUGGUAGGAACAAAGAUAGGAAAGAGACUGCGAAUAAAAAAAGAUUCAGAUGGAGCCUUCCUUCCUUCCUUCCUUCCUUCCUUCCUUUGGAUGCAAAAUUCCUAUCGCUCUCUCUGUCUCUCUUCGUUUGAUUACUUUGGGGAUAUAAAUUAUAUAUCGUGUGGAAGAGAGAAGAAGAGAAGAAACUGAGAGCGAAGAUGGACGCGCCGCCGAGCUUGCAGGAGAUGUCGUACUUCGAGCACGUCCAGAAGCGCAACGAGGACAAGGGCUGCCUCUACGCCUGCUUGUUCGCACUGUGCUGCUGCUUCUGCUGCUAUGAGACCUGCGAGUGCUGCCUAGACUGCCUCUGCUGCUGCUGCAGUUAACCAUGCAGAAAAGAAAGUGGAACAACAUAAUACCAGAAUGCCCUAUAUCUCUUUUGUAUUUGGAGUUUGAAGUAUUCUGUCUAAAAUAAAAUAUGUAGCUCUGAUGUGGACUACUUGCUUACAUUGUUUUUGCGUCUCUAAGAAUGCUGUGAACAACUAUGUUCCUUUGGAAUAUAUGCUAGAACCCGUAAUAUAUUAGUGUGUACUUUGCAUU